GAUGGUGGUGAAGGGAUUUCCGGCCAUGGUGUUGACGACAUAAUUGGCGUAUGAGGUGCGGGUGACCAGCGGAAGAGGGAGGAGGGAUUCUACCAAGCAGAGAGCGACAUAGUUGAGAUGUGGGUUUCGGACAGAGACGGCCCAGCCAAAGGGCCGUUCUCAUAUUAUCGCGAGUUAAGGCGGCUUCGUUUAGUGAUUGUCAUUAGUUCGUCCUGCCAAAUACCUUGUUAUGCUGUCAGUUGUUGCUGCUAUUAGUGUACUGCGAGUAUUGUUCAUGAUUCUGUCCAGCACUCUCAGCGUUGGAUGGAGGUUGGUAGUUGGUUUGGCUCGACGUCAUUAGUUUUCCCGAUACGAAGCCAAAUAUUAUAUAUGGAUUCUGGCCUGGAAAAGAAAAAGAGAAAAAAAAAAAAAAAAAAGAAAAAUAUUUACAGCAAAUUACACACCUAGCACAGCCAAAUAUCUGAUAAUUUCACAGCACUCAUAGCUAAUCCCGAUGGUCAAGAACAGUCAAAGUCGGAGGAGCUUAUAGCCACUAGUUAUUUACUCCGCAAAAGGCGGCGUUGCUCUUCGCUCUUCGCUCGUCACACUCCAUGAAAUGUAAGUCCCCGAAGAAACCAGCAAUUCCACUGUUCCCAUGCUAUCAUACAUUUGAUACUAGUAUAAACAAACGCACAUGUAAAAUAUACAACAUCUCGUCCACAAGCCGAAUAGUAGACAAGAAACACCAA
RNAcentral lists this small RNA (728 nucleotides) under Histoplasma ohiense. RNAcentral's name for it is "hypothetical lncRNA". The record is from RNAcentral. Lineage: Eukaryota; Fungi; Ascomycota; Eurotiomycetes; Onygenales; Ajellomycetaceae.